This 653-nucleotide ribosomal RNA is filed under the name uncultured marine bacterium. RNAcentral's name for it is "bacterial SSU rRNA". It matches the Rfam family "Bacterial small subunit ribosomal RNA", at positions 97 to 745 of the family's 1533-position model. The record is from RNAcentral.
GGCGGACGGGUGAGUAACGCGUAGGAAUCUACCUAGUAGAAGGGGAUAGCCCGGGGAAACUCGGAUUAAUACCGUAUACCUCCUUCGGGAGAAAGAAGGCCUCUCUUUGAAGCUUUCGCUAUUAGAUGAGCCUGCGUAAGAUUAGCUUGUUGGUGAGGUAAAGGCUCACCAAGGCGACGAUCUUUAGCUGGUCUGAGAGGACGAUCAGCCACAUUGGGACUGAGACACGGCCCAGACUCCUACGGGAGGCAGCAGUGGGGAAUAUUGGACAAUGGGCGCAAGCCUGAUCCAGCCAUACCGCGUGUGUGAGGAAGGCCUUCGGGUUGUAAAGCACUUUAAGCAGGGAGAAAAAGUUAUAAGUUAAUACCUUAUAACCGUGAUGUUACCUGCAGAAUAAGCACCGGCUAAUUCCGUGCCAGCAGCCGCGGUAAUACGGAAGGUGCAAGCGUUAAUCGGAAUUACUGGGCGUAAAGCGCGCGUAGGUGGUUUGUUAAGUUGGAUGUGAAAGCCCUGGGCUCAACCUAGGAACUGCAUCCAAAACUAACUCACUAGAGUACGAUAGAGGGAGGUAGAAUUCAUAGUGUAGCGGUGGAAUGCGUAUAUAUUAUGAAGAAUACCAGUGGCGAAGGCGGCCUCCUGGAUCUGUACUGACA